UACAGAGGGUGCGAGCGUUGUUCGGAAUUACUGGGCGUAAAGCGCGCGCAGGCGGCUUUUUAAGUCCGACGGUGAAAUGCCGGGGCUCAACCCCGUGCCCGCCGCGGAUACUGGGAAGCUGGAGACGAGUAGAGGCAAGCGGAAUUCCGGGUGUAGCGGUGGAAUGCGUAGAGAUCCGGAAGAACACCGGAGGCGAAGGCGGCUUGCUGGGCUCGGUCUGACGCUGAGGCGCGAAAGCGUGGGGAGCGAAUGGG
This 254-nucleotide ribosomal RNA is filed under the name uncultured bacterium. RNAcentral's name for it is "partial 16S ribosomal RNA". It matches the Rfam family "Bacterial small subunit ribosomal RNA", at positions 524 to 776 of the family's 1533-position model. The record is from RNAcentral.